GACGAACGCUGGCGGCGUGCUUAACACAUGCAAGUCGAACGGAAAGGCCCUGCUUUUGUUGGGUGCUCGAGUGGCGAACGGGUGAGUAACACGUGAGUAACCUGCCCUUGACUUUGGGAUAACUUCAGGAAACUGUGGCUAAUACCGGAUAUGAGCUCCUGCUGCAUGGUGGGGGUUAGAAAGGUUCGGCGGUUGGGGAUGGACUCGCGGUUUAUCAGCUUGUUGGUGGGGUAGUUGCUUACCAAGGCUUUGACGGGUAGCCGGCCUGAGAGGGUGACCGGCCACAUUGGGACUGAGAUACGGCCAAGCCUCCUACGGGGGGCAGCAGUGGGGAAUAUUGAACAAUGGGCGGAAGCCUGAUGAAGCACCGCCGCGUGCGGGAUAACGGCCUUCGGGUUGUAAACCGCUUUAGCCUGUGACGAAGCGGGAGUGACGGUAAUGGGUAAAGAAGCACCGGCUAACUACGUG
RNAcentral lists this ribosomal RNA (468 nucleotides) under uncultured bacterium. RNAcentral describes it as "partial 16S ribosomal RNA". It matches the Rfam family "Bacterial small subunit ribosomal RNA", at positions 28 to 507 of the family's 1533-position model. The record is from RNAcentral.